RNAcentral lists this unclassified non-coding RNA (321 nucleotides) under Hevea brasiliensis (rubber tree). Lineage: Eukaryota; Viridiplantae; Streptophyta; Magnoliopsida; Malpighiales; Euphorbiaceae. The record is from RNAcentral.
CCUGUCCUUAGCAAGGACAAUGAGCUCGAUAUCUUCCUCAUGACCAAACCAAAAGGAUCGGGGAAGAUCAACCGAACAAAGUUCUUUUCUGUUUGCAACGUCAUAGGAAUCCAAGCGCAUGUGUAUAGUAUCGUACGUAUAAAGAAUUCCAUCAUCUGAAAGUGUGAUGCAACCGAGAAAUGGAUAAGAACCAUAAGGCAAGUCCCUCUGGUAGACACUCCAAGAGCCAUUUGAGCAAUUUGAGCAAUCUAAUUGAUACAAAAUGCGUUCAUCCGCCAUAUAGGCAAUGAGUGUACCUGGGGACAAAGAUGCUGAAGCAAU